AUAAACGUUUGCGGCGUGCCUGAUGCAUGCAAGUCGAACGCCCUGAUUUUUCGCAAGAUUGAUCAGGGAGUGGCGAACGGCUGAGUAACACGUAAGUAACCUAUCCCUAAGUGGGGGAUAACUUGCCGAAAGGCAGGCUAAUACCGCAUGUGCUGGUAAGCGUCAGUUUAUCAGCAAAGCUUUUGCGCUUGGGGAGGGGCUUGCGUCUGAUUAGCUAGUUGGUAAGGUAACGGCCUACCAAGGCGAUGAUCAGUAGCUGGUCUGAGAGGACAACAGCCAGACGGGGACUGAGAUACGGCCCUGACUCCUACGGGAGGCAGCAGCAAGGAAUUUUGCGCAAUGGGCGAAAGCCUGACGCAGCGACGCCGCGUGGGGGAUGACGGCCUUCGGGUUGUAAACCCCUUUUUACGAGGAUGAGGAAGGACGGUACUCCCGGAAUAAGUCUCGGCUAACUACGU
Molecule: ribosomal RNA, 458 nt
Filed under: uncultured bacterium
Lineage: Bacteria
Description: bacterial SSU rRNA
Rfam family: Bacterial small subunit ribosomal RNA
Source: RNAcentral